GACGAACCGUGCAAACGUUAUUCGGAAUCACUGGGCAUAAAGGGCGCGUAGGCGGUCAAGCACGUCCGGGGUGAAAGCCUCCAGCUCAACUGGAGAAGUGCCUCGGAUACGGCUCGACUCGAGGGGGGUAGGGGCGUGUGGAACUUCCGGUGGAGCGGUGAAAUGCGUAGAUAUCGGAAGGAACGCCGGUGGCGAAAGCGGCACGCUGGACCCCUUCUGACGCUGAGGCGCGAAAGCCAGGGGAGCAAACGGG
Molecule: ribosomal RNA, 253 nt
Filed under: uncultured bacterium
Lineage: Bacteria
Description: partial 16S ribosomal RNA
Rfam family: Bacterial small subunit ribosomal RNA
Source: RNAcentral